AUUGAACGCUGGCGGCAGGCCUAACACAUGCAAGUCGAACGGCAGCACAGAAGAGCUUGCUCUUUGGGUGGCGAGUGGCGGACGGGUGAGUAAUGUCUGGGAAACUGCCCGAUGGAGGGGGAUAACUACUGGAAACGGUAGCUAAUACCGCAUAACGUCGCGAGACCAAAGUGGGGGACCUUCGGGCCUCACACCAUCGGAUGUGCCCAGAUGGGAUUAGCUAGUAGGUGGGGUAAUGGCUCACCUAGGCGACGAUCCCUAGCUGGUCUGAGAGGAUGACCAGCCACGCUGGAACUGAGACACGGUCCAGACUCCUACGGGAGGCAGCAGUGGGGAAUAUUGCACAAUGGGCGCAAGCCCGAUGCAGCCAUGCCGCGUGUAUGAAGAAGGCCUUCGGGUUGUAAAGUACUUUCCGCGGGGAGGAAGGCGGUGAGGUUAAUAACCUCGCCGAUUGACGUUACCCGCAGAAGAAGCACCGGCUAACUCCGUGCCAGCCGCCGCCGCGG
Molecule: ribosomal RNA, 506 nt
Filed under: uncultured bacterium
Lineage: Bacteria
Description: partial 16S ribosomal RNA
Rfam family: Bacterial small subunit ribosomal RNA
Source: RNAcentral